This is a long non-coding RNA of Lutra lutra (Eurasian river otter), 664 nucleotides long. RefSeq lists it as uncharacterized. The transcript has 3 exons. The record is from RefSeq and is a predicted model, not a curated record. Lineage: Eukaryota; Metazoa; Chordata; Mammalia; Carnivora; Mustelidae.
CUGUUCUCAGAUUCCUGGCUCCAUAUCCCAGCUGCCAUUGCUGCUUCUGGCCCCUUCACUUUGGUGACCCUGUGGGCUUCCCUUUUUAGACCACAACCUCUCACAUGUUUCUGACUCAACUCUCUCGGCAGUGCUGGCUCGCCUCCUGGUCUCAGGACCCAGCCAGAAGGAGCUGCCCUCACUUCGGAUGUGCUGUGCUCAUGGCAAAAAGCAGAAACUCAAAUGGCCAAGCCAAAUCAGACAAUCACAUUUAAAACUUCUCCUCAGACAUAAUUCCUCAACGAGAUCUUCUAAGAUGUCCGUACUAUAUAUCGAAGCCCUAAAAGUGAAUCUGACACCAUCAAUGGGAACAGAAUGAAUAUACCUUCUUUGAAAAUCUUCCUAAAAGAAAAAUCCCUUUGACUUGUGGAAAACUUCAACUUUCUGGGAGAAUCUUAAUGAACUUUACCCCUGUUAAAGUAAAACAUAUCCAGUGUAAAUACAAUAUAGAGUCUGACCUUUCCUGGCCUUGAAGACCUUGACACGCUGCUAAUAUUUUCACAUGCAAAAAAAUGAUGAAGCCGAGGGUGAAUGAGGACGUUAUCCUGAAUUCUGCACUGUUCAGCUGACAAUACACAGCCUCUAUCCUGUAACCUCCCUUCCAAUAAACAUCUCUCCCACAAGA